AUUGAACGCUGGCGGCAGGCCUAACACAUGCAAGUCGAACGAGUGGCGGACGGGUGAGUAAUGUCUGGUAAACUGCCUGGUGGAGGGGGAUAACUACUGGAAACGGUAGCUAAUAACGCAUACCAUCAGAUGUGCCCAGAUGGGAUUAGCUUGUUGGUGGGGUAACGGCUCACCAAGGCGACGAUCCCUCGCUGGUCUGAGAGGAUGACCAGCCAAACUGGAAAUAAGACAGGCUCCAGACUCCUACGGGAGGAAGCAGUGGGGAAUAUUGGAAAAUGGGCGAAAGCCUGAUGCAGCCAUGCCGCGUGUAUGAAGAAGGCCUUCGGGUUGUAAAGUACGUUCAGCGGGGAGGCGUUACCCGCAGAAGAAGUACCGGAUAACUACGUGCCAGCAGCCGCGGUAAUAC
RNAcentral lists this ribosomal RNA (406 nucleotides) under uncultured bacterium. RNAcentral's name for it is "partial 16S ribosomal RNA". It matches the Rfam family "Bacterial small subunit ribosomal RNA", at positions 30 to 526 of the family's 1533-position model. The record is from RNAcentral.